AUAUCAAUAAGCGGAGGAAAAGAAACCAACAGGGAUUGCCCCAGUAACGGCGAGUGAAGCGGCAACAGCUCAAAUUUGAAAUCUGGCCCCUAGGGCCCGAGUUGUAAUUUGCAGAGGAUGCUUUUGGCGAGGUGCCUUCCGAGUUCCCUGGAACGGGACGCCAUAGAGGGUGAGAGCCCCGUCUGGUUGGAUGCCGAGCCUCUGUAAAGCUCCUUCGACGAGUCGAGUAGUUUGGGAAUGCUGCUCUAAAUGGGAGGUAUAUGUCUUCUAAAGCUAAAUACCGGCCAGAGACCGAUAGCGCACAAGUAGAGUGAUCGAAAGAUGAAAAGCACUUUGAAAAGAGGGUUAAAUAGUACGUGAAAUUGUUGAAAGGGAAGCACUUAUGACCAGACUUGGACCCGGUGAAUCAUCCAGCGUUCUCGCUGGUGCACUUUGCCGGGCUCAGGCCAGCAUCAGUUUGCCUCGGGGGAUAAAGGCUUUGGGAAUGUGGCUCCCUCGGGAGUGUUAUAGCCCAUUGCACAAUACCCUGGGGCGGACUGAGGUUCGCGCAUCUGCAAGGAUGCUGG
This 566-nucleotide ribosomal RNA is filed under the name Pochonia chlamydosporia. Its description in RNAcentral is "eukaryotic LSU rRNA". It matches the Rfam family "Eukaryotic large subunit ribosomal RNA", at positions 40 to 629 of the family's 3401-position model. Lineage: Eukaryota; Fungi; Ascomycota; Sordariomycetes; Hypocreales; Clavicipitaceae. The record is from RNAcentral.